AUACAUGCAAGUCGAGCGGACAGAUGGGAGCUUGCUUUGAUGUUAGCGGCGGACGGGUGAGUAACACGUGGGUAACCUGCCUGUAAGACUGGGAUAACUCCGGGAAACCGGGGCUAAUACCGGAUGGUUGUCUGAACCGCAUGGUUCAGACAUAAAAGGUGGCUUCGGCUACCACUUACAGAUGGACCCGCGGCGCAUUAGCUAGUUGGUGAGGUAACGGCUCACCAAGGCGACGAUGCGUAGCCGACCUGAGAGGGUGAUCGGCCACACUGGGACUGAGACACGGCCCAGACUCCUACGGGGAGGCAGCAGUAGGGAAUCUUCCGCAAUGGACGAAAGUCUGACGGAGCAACGCCGCGUGAGUGAUGAAGGUUUUCGGAUCGUAAAGCUCUGUUGUUAGGGAAGAACAAGUGCCGUUCAAAUUGGGGGGGCCCCUUGCGGUCCUAAACCAAAA
This 454-nucleotide ribosomal RNA is filed under the name Bacillus amyloliquefaciens. RNAcentral's name for it is "bacterial SSU rRNA". It matches the Rfam family "Bacterial small subunit ribosomal RNA", at positions 51 to 488 of the family's 1533-position model. The record is from RNAcentral. Lineage: Bacteria; Bacillati; Bacillota; Bacilli; Caryophanales; Bacillaceae.